Molecule: ribosomal RNA, 253 nt
Filed under: uncultured bacterium
Lineage: Bacteria
Description: partial 16S ribosomal RNA
Rfam family: Bacterial small subunit ribosomal RNA
Source: RNAcentral
UACGUAGGGUGCGAGCGUUGUCCGGAAUCAUUGGGCGUAAAGCGCACGUAGGCGGUUCGUUAUGUCGGAUGUGAAAGCCCUUGGCUUAACCGAGGAAGUGCAUCCGAAACUGGCGAGCUAGAGUACGAAAGAGGAUCGCGGAAUUCCCGGUGUAGAGGUGAAAUUCGUAGAUAUCGGGAGGAACACCGGUGGCGAAGGCGGCGAUCUGGGUCGAUACUGACGCUGAGGUGCGAAAGCGUGGGGAGCAAACAGG